RNAcentral lists this ribosomal RNA (465 nucleotides) under uncultured bacterium. RNAcentral describes it as "partial 16S ribosomal RNA". It matches the Rfam family "Bacterial small subunit ribosomal RNA", at positions 338 to 795 of the family's 1533-position model. The record is from RNAcentral.
CCUACGUGGGGCAGCAGUGGGGAAUAUUGCACAAUGGGGGAAACCCUGAUGCAGCGACGCCGCGUGGGUGAAGAAGGUCUUCGGAUCGUAAAACCCUGUUGUUAGAGAAGAAAGUGCGUGAGAGUAACUGUUCACGUUUCGACGGUAUCUAACCAGAAAGCCACGGCUAACUACGUGCCAGCAGCCGCGGUAAUACGUAGGUGGCAAGCGUUAUCCGGAUUUAUGGGGCGUAAAGAGUUCGUAGGCGGCACGUAAAGUCUGGUGUUAAAGGCAGAGGCUCAACUUCUGUACGGCACUGGAUACUUGCGAGCUAGAAUGCGGUAGAGGUAAAGGGAAUUCCUGGUGUAGCGGUGAAAUGCUUAGAUAUCAGGAGGAACAUCGGUGGCGUAAGCGCUUUACUGGGCCGUAAUUGACGCUGAGGAACGAAAGCCAGGGUAGCAAAUGGGAUUAGAUACCCUUGUAGUC